Molecule: long non-coding RNA, 2979 nt
Organism: Peromyscus californicus insignis
Lineage: Eukaryota; Metazoa; Chordata; Mammalia; Rodentia; Cricetidae
Exons: 4
Source: RefSeq, a predicted model, not a curated record
AGUAUAUCCCUUGGUGGAUGAUCAAAAGCUGAACAAGUGAACAGUCCCCAGGCAGAAACAUCUUUGGAAGGCAACACACAGCAGCAACCUUAACACCUCCAGGUAAACGGCCACUCAGCCUGCCCAGAGUUCACUUCCGUCUGAUGUCAUUGUGAGAUACAAAAGCCUGGAGACUACAUCAGUCUUUGGAGAUACACUCAGAGACACAGUUCUGCGGCUCUCUCAGAGGGAAGUGAUGUUAGCAGGAUUUAGCCUCAGUCUUUUCCGCAGUCUCUGCCACGGGAGUGCCGCACACUCGGUACCUUUUCUUUGAUGUUUCACUCUCCCAUGACAGCCGUGUACCAUCCAGGCAGCUUCUUCUAAGCACACCGGUACCUUUGUCUGUCCUGCCCCUCACACCUUCCUCCAGAUCUUGCCCACUUGCCUCAUGAAAGCUGCUCUUCCUUUCUCUCCUCUCCCCUGGUUACUUUGUUCCUUUUAUGAGGCAGAAAAGGGCCUUAUUUUGGCUGCUGAGUCACACACACCUUUUGUCCAGGAAAGAAACAGGAUUUUCUCCCUACCCUUGCAUGAAGCUGAGCCCUUUCCUGCUGAGUGUCAGCCUGCUGGUGGAGAUGGCUCAGAGACCCAUCUGGGAAAGUGGGCAGAGGAUGCUAAUCUCAGCAACUCCAGCAAAGAGGAGCAACCUGGAGCGGUGAGGUGCAAGAGGUCUAAAGGGCAAGAAAAAGAUGUCUGAAUAAAUCUCGGAGACUAAUUUGUUCAGGUAACCAUUUGCUGUAAUUACCACCUAAUAUUAUGUGUUUAGCCCUUUAGAUUAGCAGUGUAUGCUGUACAUUUCCUUAGCUACGGGGAUUAGAUGACUUCUAAGAUCCGGUCUAGUUCCCCAAAACACUGUAACAGAAUAACUUCCCAUGCAUGUUCUAAGCCUUUGUAGUCUGUCUUUAGAAUCUAACCAUUCCAUUUGUUUGCAUUCACCUGGCAUUACAUUGAGAGCUCAAUACUACUGAUUUACAAAGAAACUACUGGAAGCUGAAAUUAUAGUAAUACUUACUUUCUGCAAGGUAUUUAAAUGCACUUUAAAUAUUCAAAGGAGGUUGAAGCAGGGAAACUUUAUAAUCCUUUACCCCUUAAAAUUCUAUAGCACCUUUAAUAAAAUUCAAUGCACGCUAAUUUGUUUGGUUUUUGUUUAGUAAAGAAGCUCUUUCUUAAUUCAUGACUCUUAAAUUAAUCAAUUAUUGUAUUUAUCUUUAGUUUAUAAAGAUAAUAAAUCUCUUAAUUUAACUUUUUAUAUCCUCCAUAUACUUUAAGAGAUUCAAGUUUUCAAAAAAUCUAUUUAAUCCUCAAUAUACUUUCAAGGUUUUAAAUUUUGUAUUGCAAAAUAGGGGGAACUUGAAUUGCAUUUCUGGUCAUAUGAAUGUUGACCAUGACUCAGUUAACUCUAGGAUCACCACCACACUGAGUGGAAAAUACAUUAAGCACAGAGCAGUUAUGAGGCUGUAAUGGAGGAUAAUGGAAUUAUGUUGACUUAGAUCUUGGGGGUCAUGGGCACUAAUGUUACUUUCUCUCCUUCAGGAUCUGUUAUGCUUUCUUUUGCUCUGAGUCACUGAAGCAUUUUACAGAGAUCUUUCUAAAGUAAUAAAUUAGUGCUCCUUCAGUGCAAUUUUCACUGAGAUGUCACAGCCACUCCCUUCCAUAUGUUUUUCAUUAAAAAUGAUUUUAGAUUUAAAGAGUAUAGAUUUUCAAAAAGUUUACAUUUCAUUUCAUGUGCAUUGGUGUUUUGCCUGCAGGCCUGUGGGAGGAUAUUGGCACCCCUGGAACUGGAGUUACAGACAGUUAUGCACUACUAUGUGGGUGCUGGAAUCAAACCUGGGUUCUCUGGAAGAGCAGCCAGUGCUCUUAACUGCUGAGCCCCUUGGUUUUGAAAAUGCACUAGUCACCAAAAUAUUUUAAUAAUUAAAAGUGACAGGUCCUCUUCCCAGGGCCUAUCCCACUCUAGAGGGCACAGCUCAGGUCCUCUUCCCAGGGGCUAUCCCACUCUAGAGGGCACAGCACAGGUCCUCUUCCCAGGGGCUAUCCCACUCUACAGGGCACAGCACAGGUCCUCUUCCCAGGGGCUAUCUUUUAGGAAGCUGAUCAGCACUGCAGCAACAGAAGCCUGUGAUCCUUGCCUGUGGCCCAGAGCUGAGUGCAGCGGGAGCGCAGGGGUGCAGAAGCUGUCUUGAACUGAGCUGGCCAUGGACAAUGCAUCUUGGCCUUCAAGGAGAACAGAAACAUGCAGAAUUUAGUAAGUGUAAGAGGAUUAGAGGCAGGCUGGCACCAACUUGGAUUUCUCCCUUCAGAGGACAGAAGGAGAAGUGCAAAGGGAAUCAUUUUCUCAGCAUGUAAUUUGCUGCUAUCUGAUGCCACCAUCCACUGCAAUCUUGAUUCUUCUGGGCCAGCUUCCCAUGCUCCGGAAGCCAUUAGAAGACAGGGAAGUAUUCAUUUGCUACAAACCAGCCUGUUUUUAAAGGUGUACUGUGUGUAUUCACUGUGACUUAUUGGUGGUGUACAUUGUAUUAUUUUAUCAUUUUGAAUCCCCAUCCAAAAACUCUUUGAAAAAUUAUAAUUUCUAAACUCUGAUGAGAAAAUUUGGUUUUCUUGCAGGAUAAAUAUUAGAUUUGACUAUGAUAUGACAGAUUUCACAUUGGUUAAAAUUAGCAGUAAAGGGCUCGAAUCUACCUUAUCAGGGAAUGAUAAAAGCUUAGACAGUAGUCUACAAGUGGGCUUUCAGGUUUCUUAAAAAAGUGUUUCUAAAACUUAGAACGAUCUAGGUUUAAGUCAUGAGAAAUAGCUCUGUCUACCCCUGCCUGUGGAGACAAGGGCUAACCCUAGGAUGUCUGCAGAUGGUGUUCCCAAGAAUAAACACAAGUUAAUCAGGGAUGAGGGACAAUACUUCCCAGGCUGCUUUCCAAACUACUAAAACUGCGCUCAGAACUUGGUGUA